This 465-nucleotide ribosomal RNA is filed under the name uncultured bacterium. Its description in RNAcentral is "partial 16S ribosomal RNA". It matches the Rfam family "Bacterial small subunit ribosomal RNA", at positions 338 to 795 of the family's 1533-position model. The record is from RNAcentral.
CCUACGUGAGGCAGCAGUAGGGAAUCUUCCACAAUGGGCGAAAGCCUGAUGGAGCAACGCCGCGUGGGUGAAGAAGGUCUUCGGAUCGUAAAACCCUGUUGUUAGAGAAGAAAGUGAGUGAGAGUAACUGUUCACGUUUCGACGGUAUCUAACCAGAAAGCCACGGCUAACUACGUGCCAGCAGCCGCGGUAAUACGUAGGUGGCAAGCGUUAUCCGGAUUUAUUGGGCGUAAAGGGAACGCAGGCGGUCUUUUAAGUCUGAUGUGAAAGCCUUCGGCUUAACCGGAGUAGUGCAUUGGAAACUGGGAGACUUGAGUGCAGAAGAGGAGAGUGGAACUCCAUGUGUAGCGGUGAAAUGCGUAGAUAUAUGGAAGAACACCAGUGGCGAAAGCGGCUCUCUGGUCUGUAACUGACGCUGAGGUUCGAAAGCGUGGGUAGCAAACAGGAUUAGAUACCCUUGUAGUC